This 377-nucleotide ribosomal RNA is filed under the name uncultured bacterium. RNAcentral describes it as "bacterial SSU rRNA". It matches the Rfam family "Bacterial small subunit ribosomal RNA", at positions 523 to 898 of the family's 1533-position model. The record is from RNAcentral.
AUACGUAGGUGGCGAGCGUUGUCCGGAAUUACUGGGUGUAAAGGGCGCGUAGGCGGGGGAGCAAGUCAGAUGUGAAAUACCGGGGCUCAACCUCGGGGCUGCAUCUGAAACUGUUCUUCUUGAGUGCCGGAGAGGAAAGCGGAAUUCCCAGUGUAGCGGUGAAAUGCGUAGAGAUUGGGAGGAACACCAGUGGCGAAGGCGGCUUUCUGGACGGUAACUGACGCUGAGGCGCGAAAGCGUGGGGAGCAAACAGGAUUAGAUACCCUGGUAGUCCACGCUGUAAACGAUGAAUACUAGGUGUAGGGGGUAAUAAAACUCUCUGUGCCGGAGUUAACACAAUAAGUAUUCCACCUGGGGAGUACGGCCGCAAGGUUGAA